CAGCCGCCGCGGUAAUACGUAGGGUGCGAGCGUUAAUCGGAAUUACUGGGCGUAAAGCGUGAGCAGGCGGUUUUGUAAGACAGGCGUGAAAUCCCCGGGCUCAACCUGGGAAUGGCGCUUGUGACUGCAAAGCUAGAGUGCGGCAGAGGGGGAUGGAAUUCCGCGUGUAGCAGUGAAGUGCGUAGAUAUGCGGAGGAACACCGAUGGCGAAGGCAAUCCCCUGGGCCUGCACUGACGCUCAUGCACGAAAGCGUGGGGAGCAAACAGGAUUAGAUACCCCUGUAGUCCCUGUCUCUUAUAC
RNAcentral lists this ribosomal RNA (301 nucleotides) under uncultured bacterium. Its description in RNAcentral is "partial 16S ribosomal RNA". It matches the Rfam family "Bacterial small subunit ribosomal RNA", at positions 509 to 807 of the family's 1533-position model. The record is from RNAcentral.